Molecule: small nucleolar RNA, 139 nt
Filed under: Triticum aestivum (bread wheat)
Lineage: Eukaryota; Viridiplantae; Streptophyta; Magnoliopsida; Poales; Poaceae
Also listed under: 1 other name
Description: Small nucleolar RNA Z247
Rfam family: Small nucleolar RNA Z247
About the family: Z247 is a member of the C/D class of snoRNA which contain the C (UGAUGA) and D (CUGA) box motifs.
Source: Rfam by way of RNAcentral
AAGGUCGACGAAGAAGAUGUUGUUUCUCACAUCCUCGCCGGACUCGACGAAGAGUUCGACCCGGUGGUCUCGGCUAUGUGCUCUCGAGUCGAACCGGUCACGGUCCCGGAGCUGUACUCACAACUGCUGAGCUUUGAGA